UUGGAGACAGCCAAUCAGGUUGACUCCCUGCUACGUUAGCACAGCUCUGGCAAAACAACCAGUCCCCGUCUCAAUUUGUUUCCUGUUAGCAUUCGCAGCAUAGCCACUGAUCAAACUGACCGUGUAAAAUGUUAAAUUAACGAAAGCGUUUGCACUUGGUUGAUGCAAUCUUUGUUUUGGCGUUAGUGUACGUUUUAAGGCAGAGCUAAUCGGAGCUGUGACGCGCCUUGCUAGCUUACUGUAGCUAACAUCGGCGACCCAAAAGAGAAAAAUGGGGUCCAUCCUGAGUCGCAGAAUCGCUGGUGUUGAGGAUAUCGAUAUCCAGGCCAACUCGGCCUAUCGAUUUCCCCCGAAAUCUGGUAAUUAUUUUGCGAGCCACUUCUUCAUGGGAGGGGAGAAAUUCGACACACCACAUCCAGAGGGAUACCUUUUUGGAGAAAAUAUGGACCUGAAUUUUCUUGGAAAUAGGCCAGUCCAGUUUCCAUAUGUGACGCCUGCACCCCAUGAGCCUGUGAAAACCCUGAGGAGUCUGGUCAAUAUUAGAAAGGACUCUCUGCGUUUGGUCAGGUAUAAAGAUGACUCUGACAAUCCGGUGGAGGAAGGUGGAAAACCAAAGAUUCAGUAUGGUGUGGAGUUCACCUUUGAUGCUGAUGCUCGAGUGGCCAUCACCCUCUACUGCCAAGCAUUUGAGGAGUUCGCCAAUGGGAUGGCAGUGUACAGCCCAAAGAAUCCAUCACUGGUCUCUGAAACUGUACAUUACAAGCGAGGGGUGAGCCAACAGUUCUCCAUGCCAUCUUUCAAAUUAGAUUUCUGCGAGUGGAAAGAAGAAGAUCUGAACUUUGACCUUGACCGAGGAGUGUUUCCCAUGGUAAUCCAAGCUGUGGUUGAUGAAGGGGACGAUUGCCUUGGACAUGCUCACGUCCUUUUGGCAGCCUUUGAAAGACACGUUGAUGGCAGUUUCUCCGUCAAGCCUCUCAAGCAGAAGCAAAUUGUGGACCGUGUGAGCUACCUCUUACAGGAAAUCUAUGGGAUUGAGAACAAAAACAACCAAGAAACAAAGCCAUCUGACGAUGAGAACAGUGACAACAGCAACGAGUGUGUUGUCUGUCUGUCCGACCUGCGAGAUACACUCAUCCUGCCCUGCAGACAUCUGUGUCUCUGCAACUCCUGCGCAGACACACUGCGUUACCAGGCCAACAACUGUCCGAUCUGCAGACUGCCCUUCAGAGCCUUGCUGCAGAUCAGAGCUGUGAGGAAAAAGCCUGGUGCUCUUUCCCCUGUGUCCUUCAGCCCUGUUCUGGCUCAGACUAUGGACCAUGACGAGCACUCUAGCACAGACUCGGUUCCUCCUGGCUUUGAACCCAUUUCACUGUUAGAGGCUUUGAAUGGUCUGCGGUCAGUUUCUCCUGCCAUCCCAUCUGCACCCCUCUACGAUGAAAUCAACUUCUCAGGGGGUGUGGGCGGUGACAGCAGACAGCUGAGCUCCCCUGAGCAUUUAAGUGAUGGGAGUCUGCAGAAAGGCAAAGUCAGCAAGUCACCUGACAGUACCCUUAGGUCUCCAUCGUCUCCCAUCCAGGAAGAAGAUGAGGAGAAGCUGUCUGAGAUGUCUGAUGCUCAGCCUCACACACUGCUGUCCAGCAGCCCCGCCCCCACUGAUGCCACAGCAACCGAGGAUGUGGCAGAAUCCCUGUCUCCAGAUGACGAGGACAGGAUGCAUUCUGGAGGAGACAUCCUACAGGACUGCAGCAGUGAACACAGCAGCUUGACCAAAACAGAGAGCGACCCACCGGGUGACUUGUCUCUGCCAGGUGACACAUUCUCUGCCAGGAACAGAGAAGAAAUAUUAGACUGUGAAGAAUAAUCUUUAAUACCUUGCAAACAAGAAAGAAAAGGAAAGAAGCAGAAUAUGUGCUGUGUAUGUAAUCUCUUACAGUAUAGACCUCUACUUUCUGAUGACGGCUUAGAGCAAAUCAUCUGGUUCUUGCUUAUUUUUGACUCCUUUCUAGUUCUGGUUCUCUAACGUUUCUCAAAUCCAAGACUUGUGGCUGUGAUUCCCUGUGCUUUUGCAUCUAAACUGUUUGCUCCUGUGCUUCUCUGUUUCCUAACACUCUUUAUGUUCCCUGCUGUCCUGUCCCUUCGCACUUUGGGCAGCUCUUGGUCCUGAUUCCUGCUCUAUUGGUAUGGAGGAAUAACUGGUUCAUCAGAGUCAACAGAAAGCCUGAAAAGUCAGAGCACAAACUGCUCUAGCCAGCCUCUCCUGUGUCCCACGAGCAGCCUUCAUAUGGAAGAUGAGCACCUCAAUCCCUGACUCUGAUCCAGCGUUUUCCAUCCCAUCCAUCAGGACAGAUUUAUUUGUUACAAAGAUCAUCCAGUCCCUCUAUUCCUUUUACCUUAUCUUCUGCUUCAGUGAUCAGAGCCAAUGACGGCCCUUAAAGGAAGUCCACCGGGAUAAGGGAGGACUGUUUAUUCCAUUGUCUCUGAAAUUAGAAAAGAAAAUUGACUCCUGCAAAGAUGUUCUUGAUACCUUACUCUAUGACUGAUGUUUAAAAAAUCAUAUAUUGUUUUCCCAGCUUUGAAAACAUUUCAUUAACUAUCAGAUGGUGUUCAGUUGUGUGUCUUGGCCAGAGUUGUGGUCUAGUAAUAUGGAUUCCAGAGAUAUUUUACUACCUGUCAUGGUGGUUUUAAGCACACUUAUUUUAAAUUAACUCUCUAUCAAUUGCUUAACACUAAAUUCAGAAGAAUUUAUAAAUACAGUUUGUGUCUAGAUAUUGUAUUCAUCUGUGAAAUACAUUAAUGACUUGAGAACUUAUUUUUACAGUAAGGUUGAUUUGGGUUAUGAGCAGAAAUUUGAAAACAUAUUACAUAUGUAUGUAUCUGUAUGUCUAUUUGAAGUGAUUUUGCACUCCGACAAAAUCGUUUAUAAUCCAUUCCUUAUAACAAUAGUUUAUGAUGAGAUGAAGUUGUCUGCCGUCUUAAACAUCUACAUGUCACUUUUUUUAAUUAUUUCUAAUGAUGUGAUAUCUAUGUAUCAUAACUGUACUAGAAUACUGUGUAGUUACUUCCAAAAUUGUAUACUUGCAUAUUACAUAAAAAAGAUCCUAAUAUUAAAAUAAUGAGACUACAUUCAGUUAACAUGCACAUUAUUUAAGACUUGGAUAAUCGAUAAGAGCUACCUAUUUCACGUCCUUACAGCUAAACUCAAAGAUAGCUAAAGCCUGCAACAAGCAUAGACGCUCCAGCUACAUGUAUGCUGACUCAGUAUGGCACAGUAAGUGUUCUUGUCGUAGAUGUGGCAGAUAUCUUUACAGUCUUUUUGUGGCAAUGCCAGUGUCUGCUUAUGUGAUGUAGCUGCAAAAAAGGGGUCUGGUGUUUGCGUGGCUGCAACAUCUUUACAUAACUUGGUCCUGUAUGUGUAGCGCCAUGCAUAUACAUCUCUGUGCCUUGAAUUAAUAUGGCUGCCUGCUUGUUGCAUUGGACGUUAGUGUUCUUAUAAAUGCUACAAUAUACAACACUUUUCAGCCCAUAGACAGGAUAUUUGAUUCUGAUGUACAGAGCCUUUUUUUAUAUUGCAAACUUCAUGCUACUGGAAAAAUGUAUCUUGUUAUUGUUAUUGCAAUAUAAAUUUGAACUGUUCAUUUACUAUGUUAUGACCAUGUAUCAAUUAUGCAUUUAAUCUAAGGUUCAAGCAGAUUCUUUUAAUGUAUGUUUGAUUGGAAGGACGACAUCCAAUGCAAUUACAAUGCAAACAUUGCAUUUUAAUAAUUGGGCUAGCAUUUGCAUGUGAAUUUGUAGAGGCUUGAACCUCACUGCUUUUAAGCAACAUUGUUAUUUUGUAUUUCCCCCCCUCCUCUUCUGUGCCAUUUCAACUUGACACUGUGCCUUCCUGAUCCUGUUCUGACUACUGUUGACCUGGUAUCCAGGAUAACUCCACAGUAGGUGGUUUGUGGCUCUCUGUAAAAUCAAUACCUGUCUUUCCUCGUGUGUAUAGCAGCAUGUGUGUAACAAUAAAGAACAAAGAUUCAGUACUUCAA
This is an RNA transcript of Sander lucioperca (pikeperch), 4031 nucleotides long. It is a transcript of the gene named mahogunin, ring finger 1b, with no coding region annotated. The transcript is spliced from 17 exons. The record is from RefSeq and is a predicted model, not a curated record. NCBI's taxonomy places the organism in Eukaryota, Metazoa, Chordata, Actinopteri, Perciformes, Percidae.